GGAGGGCGCAAGCGUUGUUCGGAAUCAUUGGGCGUAAAGCGCGUGCAGGCGGCUUGGUAAGUCGGGUGCGAAAUCCCGGGGCUCAACCCCGGAACUGCACCCGAUACUGCCUCGCUCGAGUCCCGGAGAGGAUGGCGGAAUUUCCGGUGUAGAGGUGAAAUUCGUAGAUAUCGGAAGGAACACCAGCGGCGAAGGCGGCCAUCUGGACGGUGACUGACGCUCAGACGCGAAAGCGUGGAGCAAACAGGAUUAGAUACCCUGGUAGUCCACGCUGUAAACGUUGGGUGCUAGGCGUCGUGGGUAUUGACCCCCGCGGUGCCGAAGCUAACGCAUUAAGCACCCCGCCUGGGGAGUACGGUCGCAAGACUA
This 369-nucleotide ribosomal RNA is filed under the name uncultured bacterium. Its description in RNAcentral is "bacterial SSU rRNA". It matches the Rfam family "Bacterial small subunit ribosomal RNA", at positions 527 to 896 of the family's 1533-position model. The record is from RNAcentral.